UUCCAAUAGAGCCUCUCCAAUUUCAAUUUUCAUUCCAUAGGUCUUCUUCCCUUUAAUAUCAUACCCAUUUCUACACCCCGUAACAAUCCAUGAACAAUUAUGUCUCCAUCGAUCUUAUUCCCAAUUUUCUCGUAUAAUCGGCUAUGGAGGAGAGAGGCAUAACUUUCACUAUUUCCAAUUCUCCGAUUUCAAAUUUCCAACUGUCUUUGUUGUCCAGAAUCUAAAUUUUGUCCAUCCAACUGUUCAUCUGAUGAAUUUGGUGUUGUCGAGAAUCAUCCGAUCGAAGUAUCAUUUGUCUGAUUUGGUGAUGUUGAAGUACCUAGUUUGUUUUGAUUUUGGAUUUAGAUAGUUGUUCUGAUUUAUACACUAGUACCCUUUUCUUUUGUUUCAGGAGCCAAAAAAUAUUGGUCACUUUGCUUCCUUUUUUUCAUUUUUGGUAAGAUAGUUUGGACUGGAUACAACAUCAGUGCAUGAUUUACAAGAAUCUGCUACGUCAACAAAAGAUUAUUGGAAGUAUUGGGGUGGACAGAACACAGAAUGGAUAGUACAUGAAUAAGGGUUUAGAAUGUCAUAUUUUUCAUUGUACUGUUAUACAAAACUUUGGUACUACAAACAUCUUUC
Molecule: long non-coding RNA, 621 nt
Organism: Salvia splendens (bonfire salvia)
Lineage: Eukaryota; Viridiplantae; Streptophyta; Magnoliopsida; Lamiales; Lamiaceae
Exons: 3
Source: RefSeq, a predicted model, not a curated record